This 59-nucleotide microRNA precursor is filed under the name Caenorhabditis brenneri. RNAcentral's name for it is "microRNA cbn-mir-7618 precursor". Lineage: Eukaryota; Metazoa; Nematoda; Chromadorea; Rhabditida; Rhabditidae. The record is from miRBase by way of RNAcentral.
ACGAAAACUCGAUUGUUUUAGAGAAAAAAUAGUCUUCUAAAACACUCAAGUUGGCGUGA